Molecule: ribosomal RNA, 445 nt
Filed under: uncultured bacterium
Lineage: Bacteria
Description: bacterial SSU rRNA
Rfam family: Bacterial small subunit ribosomal RNA
Source: RNAcentral
UCCAGACUCCUACGGGAGGCAGCAGUGGGGAAUAUUGCACAAUGGGGGAAACCCUGAUGCAGCGACGCCGCGUGAGUGAAGAAGUAAUUCGUUAUGUAAAGCUCUAUCAGCAGGGAAGAAAAUGGCGGUACCUGACUAAGAAGCCCCGGCUAACUACGUGCCAGCAGCCGCGGUAAUACGUAGGGGGCAAGCGUUAUCCGGAUUUACUGGGUGUAAAGGGAGCGUAGACGGUUAUGCAAGUCUGAAGUGAAAGCCCAAGGCUCAACCAUGGGACUGCUUUGGAAACUGUAAAACUGGAGUGCAGGAGAGGUAAGCGGAAUUCCUAGUGUAGCGGUGAAAUGCGUAGAUAUUAGGAGGAACACCGGUGGCGAAGGCGGCUUACUAGACUGUAACUGACGUUGAGGCUCGAAGGCGUGGGGAGCAAACAGGAUUAGAUACCCCGGUA